This 396-nucleotide ribosomal RNA is filed under the name uncultured bacterium. Its description in RNAcentral is "partial 16S ribosomal RNA". It matches the Rfam family "Bacterial small subunit ribosomal RNA", at positions 523 to 918 of the family's 1533-position model. The record is from RNAcentral.
AUACGUAGGUGCCAAGCGUUAUCCGGAUUUACUGGGCGUAAAGGGCGUGUAGGCGGUCUUGCAAGUCAGAAGUGAAAUUCCUGAGCUCAACUCGGGCGCUGCUUCUGAAACUGCAGGACUUGAGUGCUGGAGGGGAUAGCGGAAUUCCUAGUGGAGCGGUAAAAUGCGCAGAUAUUAGGAAGAACACCGGUGGCGAAGGCGGCUAUCUGGACAGUAACUGACGCUGAGUCGCGAAAGCGUGGGGAGCAAACAGGAUUAGAUACCCUGGUAGUCCACGCUGUAAACGAUGAUUACUAGGUGUGGGGGGACUGACCCCUUCCGCGCCGCAGUUAACACAAUAAGUAAUCCACCUGGGGAGUACGGCCGCAAGGUUGAAACUUAAAGGAAUUGACGGGG